GUGAGUGGAAGCUCUGGUGCAGCAUGAUGCUGCCCCCUUGGACCCUCGGCCUUCUCCUGCUGGCCACAGUCAGAGGAAAAGAGGUCUGCUACGGACAACUUGGCUGCUUUUCUGAUGAAAAACCAUGGGCAGGAACCCUUCAGCGACCUGUAAAAUUACUUCCCUGGUCCCCCGAGGACAUUGACACCCGCUUUCUUCUGUACACAAAUGAAAAUCCAAACAACUUCCAACUAAUCACUGGCACGGAACCAGACACCAUUGAGGCUUCAAACUUCCAACUGGACCGCAAGACACGCUUCAUCAUCCAUGGCUUCUUAGACAAGGCGGAGGACAGCUGGCCAUCGGACAUGUGCAAGAAAAUGUUUGAAGUGGAGAAGGUGAACUGCAUCUGUGUGGACUGGAGGCACGGGUCCCGGGCAAUGUACACCCAAGCCGUGCAAAACAUUCGGGUUGUUGGGGCGGAGACAGCUUUCUUAAUACAAGCACUGUCGACGCAGCUAGGGUACAGCCUUGAGGACGUGCAUGUCAUCGGCCACAGCCUGGGCGCGCACACGGCCGCGGAGGCGGGCAGGAGGCUGGGGGGCCGCGUGGGCAGGAUCACAGGGCUGGAUCCAGCAGGGCCGUGCUUCCAGGAUGAACCUGAGGAGGUUCGGUUGGAUCCAUCUGACGCCGUGUUUGUGGAUGUGAUUCACACAGAUUCUUCUCCCAUAGUUCCUUCCCUAGGUUUCGGAAUGAGCCAAAAGGUGGGCCAUCUGGAUUUCUUUCCAAAUGGAGGAAAGGAAAUGCCCGGAUGUAAGAAAAAUGUCCUUUCAACCAUUACUGAUAUUGAUGGAAUAUGGGAAGGAAUUGGUGGCUUUGUGUCUUGCAAUCACCUAAGAAGCUUCGAGUAUUACUCAAGCAGCGUCCUCAACCCUGAUGGCUUCCUGGGCUAUCCCUGUGCCUCCUACGAUGAGUUUCAGGAGAGUAAGUGUUUCCCUUGUCCAGCUGAAGGAUGCCCCAAAAUGGGGCACUAUGCUGACCAAUUUAAGGGGAAAACAAGUGCUGUGGAACAAACCUUUUUCCUGAACACAGGAGAGAGUGGUAACUUUACUAGUUGAAGAUAUAAGAUAUCAGUCACACUUUCUGGAAAAGAGAAAGUGAAUGGGUACAUCAGGAUUGCUUUGUAUGGAAGUAAUGAAAACUCAAAACAAUAUGAGAUUUUCAAAGGAUCCCUCAAACCAGAUGCAAGUCACACGUGUGCUAUUGAUGUGGAUUUUAAUGUUGGAAAAAUACAGAAAGUUAAAUUCCUCUGGAACAAACGUGGGAUAAAUCUAUCUGAGCCCAAACUGGGGGCUUCCCAAAUCACAGUGCAAAGUGGUGAAGAUGGGACUGAGUAUAAUUUUUGUAGCAGCGACACUGUGGAAGAAAACGUCUUGCAAUCUCUUUACCCUUGUUAAAAACGUGGUGCAGCUAUUGCGGUAAUAAAAUCUUUAAUGCACUCGG
This is an RNA transcript of Homo sapiens (human), 1482 nucleotides long. It is a transcript of the gene named pancreatic lipase related protein 2 (gene/pseudogene), transcript variant 1, non-coding, with no coding region annotated. The transcript has 13 exons. The record is from RefSeq and is marked validated. NCBI's taxonomy places the organism in Eukaryota, Metazoa, Chordata, Mammalia, Primates, Hominidae.